GCCCAAAGUCUAGCCUAUAUUUUUUAUAUAUUAAAAACCCCCCAACCUAAAUUCAAUAAAACAUUUUAACCUUUUAGUAGAGGUGAUCGAAAAACAUAUUAGCGCUAAAGACUAUGUACCGCAAGGGAAAGAUGAAAUAAAAAUGAAAUAAUUCUAAAGCACCUAAAAGCAGAGACCUCCCCUCGUACCUUUUGCAUCAUGGUCCAGCCAGUCUCCCCAAGCAAAACGAAUUUAAGUUUGAACCCCCGAAACUGAGUGAGCUACUUCGAAAUAGCCACAAGAGCUAACCCGUCUCUGUUGCAAAAGAGUGGGAUGAUUUCCAAGUAGAGGUGAUAAACCUACCGAGCCCAGAGAUAGCUGGUUCCUCAAGAAAAGAAUAUUAGUUCAACCUUAAGUCUCAAAAUUAUACAAAAAAAACACUUAGACUUUAGAGCUAUUCAAAUAAGGCACAGCUUAUUUGAAACAGGACACAACCUACAAUAUAGGGUAACCCUAUCAAAAAGUGACAGGUGGGCCUAAAAGCAGCCACCCUUAAAAAAGCGUUAAAGCUUAACACUAAUUCUUCACUAAUACCUCAAUUAUCCACUAACCCAUCAUCAAUAUUGAGUUACUCCAUAAAUUUAUGGAAGAUAUAAUGCUGAAACUAGUAACAAGAAGAAGACCUUCUCCUAAAUGUAAACCUAAGCCAUAACAGACAACCUACUGGCAAUUAACGAUAAUGAAACUAUUAUAGUAACCUAACAAGAAAAUUCUAUAACUUCUAACGUCACCCUUACACUAGAACAUUUAUGGAAAGAUUAAAAGAGAAAGAAGGAACUCGGCAACCAAACCCCCGCCUGUUUACCAAAAACAUCGCCUCUUGACAAAAUAUAAGAGGUCCAGCCUGCCCAGUGAUAAAUUAAACGGCCGCGGUACCCUAACCGUGCAAAGGUAGCAUAAUCACUUGUUCUUUAAAUGAGGACUUGUAUCAACGGCAUCACGAGGGGUCUACUGUCUCCUUCCUCCAAUCAGUGAAACUGAUCUCCCCGUGAAGAAGCGGGGAUACCCCUAUAAGACGAGAAGACCCCAUGGAGCUUUAAACCCAAUAACAACCCCACUUACUACACCCACUAAACUAAUAGGGUCCUGUAUACUUGGUUUUAGGUUGGGGUGACCGCGGAGUACAACAAAACCUCCACAAUGAACGAGACUACUCUUAUCUACGAGCCACACCUCUAAGAAUUAAUAUAUUAACACAAAUGAUCCGAUAUUCGAUCAACGAACCAAGUUACCCUGGGGAUAACAGCGCAAUCCAUUUCAAGAGCCCAUAUCGACAAAUGGGUUUACGACCUCGAUGUUGGAUCAGGAUAUCCUAGUGGCGCAGCAGCUACUAAAGGUUCGUUUGUUCAACGAUUAAAAUCCUACGUGAUCUGAGUUCAGACCGGAGUAAUCCAGGUCGGUUUCUAUCUAUAAAGAGCUACCCCUAGUACGAAAGGAUCGGAAUAGCGUGGCCAAUACAAAAGCAAGCCACAUACCUGACACCAAUGACCCCCACUCAAUUGGUCAAGAACUAAAACUAACCCAAGACAAGGGUUU
This 1575-nucleotide ribosomal RNA is filed under the name Boehmantis microtympanum. Its description in RNAcentral is "16S rRNA". The stretch from base 67 to 1480 matches the Rfam family "Bacterial large subunit ribosomal RNA". The record is from RNAcentral. Lineage: Eukaryota; Metazoa; Chordata; Amphibia; Anura; Mantellidae.